This 387-nucleotide ribosomal RNA is filed under the name uncultured bacterium. RNAcentral's name for it is "bacterial SSU rRNA". It matches the Rfam family "Bacterial small subunit ribosomal RNA", at positions 28 to 414 of the family's 1533-position model. The record is from RNAcentral.
GACGAACGCUGGCGGCGUGCUUAACACAUGCAAGUCGAGCGGUAAGGCCCUUUCGGGGGUACGACGAGCGGCGAACGGGUGAGUAACACGUGGGUGACCUGCCCUCAGCUCUGGGAUAAGCCUGGGAAACCGGGUCUAAUACUGGAUAUGACUCCAUGACGCAUGUUGUGGGGUGGAAAGCCUUGUGCGGCUGAGGAUGGGCCCGCGGCCUAUCAGCUUGUUGGUGGGGUGAUGGCCUACCAAGGCGACGACGGGUAGCCGGCCUGAGAGGGCGACCGGCCACACUGGGACUGAGACACGGCCCAGACUCCUACGGGAGGCAGCAGUGGGGAAUCUUGCGCAAUGGGCGAAAAGCCUGACGCAGCGACGCCGCGUGAGGGAUGACGG